Long non-coding RNA from Bradysia coprophila, 252 nucleotides. The record is from RefSeq and is a predicted model, not a curated record. Lineage: Eukaryota; Metazoa; Arthropoda; Insecta; Diptera; Sciaridae.
UAUUUGAUUUGAUGACUAUAAGCGAAAAAAAGACUGCUCAAAUUGAACAGCCAGUAAAAAAUCGAUCUUUUCAAAAACAGAAAUUACAAUAAAUAAAAAUCGUCCACUCUGUUUCUUCCCAACGUUCCAAGAAUGCAUGCUGCGUUUCCCCUUUGAAUAGCAAUUGAAAUUCUUUGCAACAAGUAGUCUGUUGAACGCUUUUCCCCUGAUGCUUUUUUCAUCAAUGAUCCUAAUUUCAUGACAAAUUUCUUU